RNAcentral lists this ribosomal RNA (526 nucleotides) under Candida albicans. RNAcentral's name for it is "partial large subunit ribosomal RNA". It matches the Rfam family "Eukaryotic large subunit ribosomal RNA", at positions 54 to 556 of the family's 3401-position model. The record is from RNAcentral. Lineage: Eukaryota; Fungi; Ascomycota; Pichiomycetes; Serinales; Debaryomycetaceae.
AGGAAAAGAAACCAACAGGGAUUGCCUCAGUAGCGGCGAGUGAAGCGGCAAAAGCUCAAAUUUGAAAUCUGGCGUCUUUGGCGUCCGAGUUGUAAUUUGAAGAAGGUAUCUUUGGGCCCGGCUCUUGUCUAUGUUCCUUGGAACAGGACGUCACAGAGGGUGAGAAUCCCGUGCGAUGAGAUGACCCGGGUCUGUGUAAAGUUCCUUCGACGAGUCGAGUUGUUUGGGAAUGCAGCUCUAAGUGGGUGGUAAAUUCCAUCUAAAGCUAAAUAUUGGCGAGAGACCGAUAGCGAACAAGUACAGUGAUGGAAAGAUGAAAAGAACUUUGAAAAGAGAGUGAAAAAGUACGUGAAAUUGUUGAAAGGGAAGGGCUUGAGAUCAGACUUGGUAUUUUGCAUGUUGCUCUCUCGGGGGCGGCCGCUGCGGUUUACCGGGCCAGCAUCGGUUUGGAGCGGCAGGAUAAUGGCGGAGGAAUGUGGCACGGCUUCUGCUGUGUGUUAUAGCCUCUGACGAUACUGCCAGCCUA